CUGUUUUGGAAUCUUUACAAAUACAAAGGUAGAAUACAUGUGAAAUCUGAUGGAGUUCAUGGAUAUAAGUUUGCUUGUUUAGGCCUAAAAGCAAGGUCCAUAAUAUUUAGGGAGAAUGUAUGAUGUGACAGCUGUCCUAGGUUGUUAUGAUAUUCCCCCAAUAAAGUAGUGCGUGGGGGAAAACUGUAGGUAUGAAUGAUUGUUAUGGCAGUACCUUGUAGGGUCAGGCAGUGAUAGACUAACUAUUGUCUCUGUUGAGGAGCUUUGCUCUGGAAACUAACCGUGUUACUUCGAUAUUAUCAUCGUUCAAUAAUAUCGAAACAUUCCAUAUUUACCUUAUAUUUUCUGCUAGAAUUACUCUGCUCUAUCAUAGUUAGAAUAUGCAAGUGCUAUUCUUUUUAAAUACAUCUAUAGAGUUGAUUUGUUACUAUAGUUGAUGUUUGUGAUCUGGUGUAUCUCCUUAGAUCAACCAAAACAUGUAGCUGCUAUGCUAGGACAUUUUGCAAUAGGAUUGAAUGGGUUACUUUAGCCAAAAGAACAUGCAUGGUGACUGGAACACUGGUUUGUACAUGGGGGAAUUAGCAACACUGGUAACAAGAAUAUGCCAAUUAUGUGGUGUAAUAUCUAGAAAACAUUUUAUGCAUUUUAUUUCAUCUCAAUUAUGCUUGCUUAAUUUAAUGUAUUAACAAGCAAUCGAAAUUUGGAAGGCGUGUUGUAUUUGGAUCAAGUGGACCGCAUUGUAGAGAUAUAAGUUGGUAACUUGCUACAUACAUGCAUGAAGUGAAAUUAAAAAGAUUCUACUUUUGUGUGAGUGGCAGUGCAGAUGUUUGUGAGGUAUACUUUUUUGAACCUUGCUUCUAAGGAAGGUGGAAGAGAGUUAAUAAAAGGCUAAGAAUGGUCAAUAAAGAAUAAUAACCUACAUUCAUCACCACUUACGAACACAAAACAAGUGAUCAAAUAUGAAUUCUGUUUUUGCUGCAUAAUUGGUCUUCUGCAUAUUUAGUGCGUAUCAGACUUAUAUGAGCUGAAAUUGAUGUCUUAAAAGAUCUUUUCAUAGUGAAAAGAGAUUACUGUUGUUAGUCACUACCAAAUUGUUUGAAUUAAUUCAACAAGAUUCAUCAAAAAAUGACAUGAAAUAAGCCUACGUGCCAAAUUUAAGAGAAUUCCAAGUUUGUUUGUGCAACUAUCAUAAUUUGAGAGACCUGGAUCCUUGGAUGGAUGAUAGUAGUGCUAGUAGUGAUAGUUAUUCUACUCCACAUUAUAGUAUUGUUUUGAUGCUCCACGGUUAGUUAGCUUCUCUCUUUUAUUGUAGAAUGCCUAGGAGUCAUUAAUAUUGUUUAUUUUUGGUGGAUACCCUGCAUUGUGCGAUUUUUGCAGUGAUUUGCAUGCCUGUGUGUCAAGUUUAUAUUUGAUAUUCAAACCGCAGGUGAUCAAAUGACUAUUUUCCUGCAUCUGUAACCGGAAGCAAAUCUAGUCCAGAUCCUUCAAGUAAAUCAGAUUCUAUCAAGUUUCUUUGGUCCAAUACCAUUUAGGAAUAGCAAAAGUUUGCAAAAACAUCCCAAAGGAAACAUUGCAAGGCCUAAAAGUUGAAAAUGCACAUCUGUUGGAGCUGCAUAGAAAGGUAUGAGCCCUUAUUGAAUAGACUCAUCACAGAUGUUGAGGACUUCACAUACCCAAAUGCUGGAAAAUAUUAUCUACCAUUUCAAAGUUCAAAACCGUAGUUAAAUUUUGAAGGAGUUGGAGCUAGUGCGUGCACCUUUGCUAGUACCGAAAAAUCGAGGCGGAUUUGGAAUCUUUAAUGUAUGAAUUGUAUUAUUUUGAAUUAUCAAUAUAGUAAAGGACCGCUGUUUUUUUACCUUAUCAUGUAAAAAGGAUGCAAAUCCAUUUACAUUGCUCUUAUUUGAUGAGUAUUUUAAUUUUAUUUUUUUUUUUUUUAUAUUUGUACACUUGAGUUUCCAUUAAUGUUUGUUUCCAUUCAUUGAACUA
This is a long non-coding RNA of Cicer arietinum (chickpea), 1986 nucleotides long. RefSeq lists it as uncharacterized. The record is from RefSeq and is a predicted model, not a curated record. Lineage: Eukaryota; Viridiplantae; Streptophyta; Magnoliopsida; Fabales; Fabaceae.